RNAcentral lists this ribosomal RNA (414 nucleotides) under uncultured Lactobacillus sp. RNAcentral's name for it is "bacterial SSU rRNA". It matches the Rfam family "Bacterial small subunit ribosomal RNA", at positions 134 to 526 of the family's 1533-position model. Lineage: Bacteria; Bacillati; Bacillota; Bacilli; Lactobacillales; Lactobacillaceae. The record is from RNAcentral.
GAGAUCGGGGAUAACACCUGGAAACAGAUGCUAAUACCGGAUAACAACAGAUGAUGCCUAUCAACUGUUUAAAAAAGAUGGUUCUGCUAUCACUCUUGGAUGGACCUGCGGUGCAUUAGCUAGGUUGGUAGGGUAACGGCCUACCAAGGCGAUGAUGCAUAGCCGAGUUAAGAGACUGAUCGGCCACAUUGGGACUGAGACACGGCCCAAACUCCUACGGGAGGCAGCAGUAGGGGAAUCUUCCACAAUGGACGCAAGUCUGAUGGAGCAACGCCGCGUGAGUGAAGAAGGGUUUCGGUUCGUAAAGCUCUGUUGUUGGUGAAGAAGGACAGGGGGUAGUAACUGACCUUUGUUUGACGGUAAUCAAUUAGAAAAGUCACGGGCUAACUACGUGCCCAGCAGCCGCGGGUAAAU